UCCAAUCUUUGCAGCUUUGAUCCAGUUCUUGAUCAUAGGCUCGAGCACGCUCCAGUCUGUUCUGUUAAACCGCGAGAUCUUACACUUUUCGAUCCCAAGUAAGUGUAGCCCUUCAUCUACAAUUGACUUUCUGAUCAACUUAUAGCUCUUUAUGCAUUCUUUACCAUAUCCACAGCUGAUCAUGGUCUCUGCUAUGACCUUGAGGUCUGACAUCACAAGUGCUGCAGCUUUUUCGACCUUUGUGAUCGAUUCACCAGCCUUCUUCAGCUCAUCUUC
This 276-nucleotide long non-coding RNA is filed under the name Capsella rubella. Its description in RNAcentral is "long non-coding RNA (CRUB_LNC003372)". Lineage: Eukaryota; Viridiplantae; Streptophyta; Magnoliopsida; Brassicales; Brassicaceae. The record is from RNAcentral.